This 403-nucleotide ribosomal RNA is filed under the name bacterium. RNAcentral's name for it is "partial 16S ribosomal RNA". It matches the Rfam family "Bacterial small subunit ribosomal RNA", at positions 355 to 776 of the family's 1533-position model. The record is from RNAcentral.
UGGGGAAUAUUGCACAAUGGCGGGAACUCUGAUGCAGCGACGCCGCGUGAACGAAGAAGGCUUUCGAGUCGUAAAGUUCUUUUAUAUGGGAAGAUAAUGACGGUACCAUAAGAAAAAGCUCCGGCUAACUACGUGCCAGCAGCCGCGGUAAUACGUAGGGGGCUAGCGUUGUCCGGAAUCACUGGGCGUAAAGGGUUCGCAGGCGGAAAUGCAAGUCAGGUGUAAAAGGCAGUAGCUUAACUACUGUAAGCAUUUGAAACUGCAUAUCUUGAGAAGAGUAGAGGUAAGUGGAAUUUUUAGUGUAGCGGUGAAAUGCGUAGAUAUUAAAAAGAAUACCUGUGGCGAAGGCGACUUACUGGGCUCAUUCUGACGCGGAGGAACGAAAGCGUGGGUAGCAAACAGG